RNAcentral lists this ribosomal RNA (217 nucleotides) under Solenopsis sp. 15 GR-2021. RNAcentral's name for it is "partial large subunit ribosomal RNA". The record is from RNAcentral. Lineage: Eukaryota; Metazoa; Arthropoda; Insecta; Hymenoptera; Formicidae.
GAAUUUUAUAUAAUUUUAUUUGAUUAGAUUAUAUUUAGAUAAAUACAAUAAAAUUAUAUUUUAUUGGGAGGAUAGUUAAAUAUUUUUAACUUUAAUUAAAAGUUAGAAGAUAAAUUAAUAAAUUAUUAGGAAUGGUUUAUAAAUUAAAUAAGAAUUAAUUACCUUAGGGAUAACAGCGUAAUAUUUUUGGUGAGUUCAUAUCAAUAAAAAUGUUUGC